UUCACCAUUUCUGUAUAUCUGAUACUCCAUGCAAAUCUUAGCUGCACUAUGGUGUUACAUUAAAAGUGAAGUGGGUCACCAGAAAGAAGUGAAAACUAAUAGGGGUGGGAAAAAAAAGAUAAGUGCUAUUAGGAUACACUAGUAAAACAAGAACUUGCUAAAAAUAGCUUCCAACACAUGAAUGCUCAGAAAUUUAUAAUAGG
This 203-nucleotide long non-coding RNA is filed under the name Solanum tuberosum (potato). RNAcentral's name for it is "long non-coding RNA (STUB_LNC003359)". The record is from RNAcentral. Lineage: Eukaryota; Viridiplantae; Streptophyta; Magnoliopsida; Solanales; Solanaceae.